CUUCCAUGGUGUAAAUACUCCCUCCAAGGCUGAUUUCAAGCUACCUGUGUGAUGGCAUUAAGGUGGAGAUAGGAAGAGAAGUGCACAAAGGGCUGUUAUCAGUCAGUGUGAGCCAGCUUAUCACUGACUCUGAGAAUUAGUAACAAUGUCUGUGCUCUCUAUUCACACUUAAUGACAUAAUUAAUCAAUGUGUUACUUAAAUAUGGCAGUGUGGGAAGCACUUAGACUUUUCAGCCAGGUCAGAGGAAACCCUGGCCACACUACUAAAUAGCUUCAUAUUCAUGUGGUCGCAGGCAACUUCAUCCUUUCUGAGCUUCAGUUGCCUUAUCUUUUAAAUGGAGAGAACAUCAUGAGAUCUGUGUUUUGAAGAAAAACAGAUACGAAAAACUCAAUCCAUGCCCUUCAACAAACAAUGUGCAGUUUAUUUAACACAGAAAAUUGGACAAGGACAAAAAUGAUCAUUCCACUAGAAGCAGAGAUGUACCAGUGCUAUUUACUCAGAGAGAAAAGGCCAUGUGAAGAUACAGUGAGAAGGCGGCCAUAUGCAAGCCAAGGAGAGGAGCCCCAGAAGAAACCAAACCUGCUGACAUCUUGAUCUUGGACUUCCAGCCUCCAGAACUGUGAGAAACUACAUUUCUAUUGCUUUAGCUACCCAAUCUGUGAUUGUAAUAUUUUUUAUGGCAGCUCUAGCAAAAAAAUAUACCAGAGAAAGUUACCUUUCCUGAAUUUCCCAAAACUUCUCACUGCUACUACUUCUUAGACUUAUAAGAAUAUAUAGACUUUGAAAGAUUCUGCUUCCACAAACAUCUUCAAAAUUCCCUAGGAAUGCAUAUGUUUUUACCCACAAAUUAGAAUUUAGGAAGACUUGCUGUUCUUUGCCAGUAUAAUAGCAACACGUGUGGGUCUGUCAACACAUGUGGAGCAACACAGGACUCUAAAAAUCUUUGAUAUUAAAGUUACUUGCCAAAGACAGCUUGGGCUACUAUCAUGGUCAGUGCUCCAUAGUGAUAGUUGUAUAAGAUCUGACAUAGCUGCUACUGUCUCAAAGGAGUAGGCAGGAAAUUCAGUACUGUCAUCAUAUGUUAGAGGUCGGUUCUACGGAAAAGAAUGGUGUUGCCACAACCACCAUUGUGGUAGUUGUUUUGGGGCAUAGAUCUCAGAGAAACUGGGCCUAAGUUCCUAUUCACAUAGACCUUAUCUAGUGAUAAGAGAAAAAAUUAAGUAAAUAUACAUCAUUAACAUGAGAGUAUUUUCAUGUAAUUGAGUCACUUAACCUAGUUUUAGAAGUUGGGGAAGAUUUUCUUGAAGAAACAAUUUUAAGGCCAAGGACAGAAUGAUGAGUAGAAGUCAACUACUUGAGCAGUCAACCAGUGAAGAGCACUGAUGAGCACAGAUCUUAGGAAACCUGGGCAACAAUGCCAAUAUGUUGAACCAUAGUGAACACACACAAUAGGGCUGGAGGAGCAGGUGGGAGAAAAGGAUGAAAGGAGUAUAUGCUAGGAGAAGACACGAAGAGAGCACAUGAAACAUGAUGCUUGCAAACCACUUUUCAUGUCUGGCAAAAAGGAAAAAAAGAGAAUUUACUUUGUAAUGCUUCCAGGUAAUUAAUUUAAUCACACCAAAUAAUUAUAAAACAAAUUACCUUGAAGCGAUGGUUUAAUGUGUGUAUUUGCAGUAAUUGAGUGGUCACCUGAGAUGGAUUCAAUUGGUUAUAUGAGAAUAUUUCUUUAGAGCUGUUGCAUUAACUGCCUGUAUUAGAUCUGUUGCUUGAAAUGUAUGCUGGUAGGAAAAAAGCACUUAAGGUAUUUGAAUGGGGCUAGACAAUGUCUUCAAAAUAUGUAAAACUCUAAUAGCCUUCUCCACUUGCCAGAAAAGAAUGAGAUCUCUUAAUUUGUUCCAGCCCCAGUCAUCAGCCCAAAGAAUUACAGCUCCUGAGACUCAUCAUUUGCCAAUCCUGAGAGAUGUCCAGAUUUGAGACUACUCAUACCAGAACUCCAUUAUGCUGACAUGUGCCUGGCCUUCAAAAUGAAGGUGGAAGUGUGUAGUUUUCUCUGCUGUGUUAAAUGCCCUAGUCAGGGCUUACAUAUAAGAACUAUCUGAGAAUGAUAGUGCAACAAAACAAGAAAAUAUAUCUUCAAUUCAUAUUGUUAUUAGAUAAACAUCCUUGCUUACUUUAAAAAUCAUUUCCAGGACAAAGUAGCCCUUGAGAGUCUUGACAGUCUGUGCCUCAACCACAAUCUAUUGUAACCCAGCCUGAUAAUUUCAGCAAAUGAAUCUUAGAUGCAAAUGUACCAGUAAUGCUUUUAGUCUACAAUUUAUUUCUGACAUUAUUGUCUACCCUAGAGCUGUUUAAAUUAUUUAAACUAGAAAAAUAGUGAUGGGUUUGAAAAUGAAAACUAAAUAAUCAAACAUGGCCAUCAAAAUACUCCCAGGUAAUCACUGGAUUCCUAAAGCAAAGAUAAUUGGUAAAAUCAGAUUUUGUUUGAAGUCCAUGUCAUCGUGAGCUACUUGGUCAUGCCUACAGUAAAGAUUCAAACAUUAUUGGUAAGAGAAGUUUUGAUGUGCCCAACUUUUACUCUCACCUUUUUCUCACCCAAACCUGAACUGAAAUUUUAAAAAUAAAAACAAUAAUAAAUCAAUUGCUUCUGGGCCACCAGCAUUGCCCAACCUUCAGCAAUGUAUUACUGAAGCAUUGACUAUAUAAAAGAUGUAUGUUAGGGGCAGCCUGGACAUGAUGGAUAAGACAAAGAUGAAUAAGAAAAACACUUUUUUUCCUCCAAGAAAAAUAUCAUUCAAUGGAAGAGAAAGGCUCCAUACAUAAUAAAUGUAAUACUGUGUCUGGAAUUGGUGGGUUCUUGAUCUCACUGACUUCAAGAAUGAAGCUGCGGACCCUUGUGGUGAGUGUUACAGUUCUUAAAGAUGGUGUGUCUGGAGUUUGUUCCUUCUGAUAUUCGGACGUGUUCGGAGUUUAUUCCUUCUGGUGGGUUCAUGGUCUCCCUGGCUUCAGGAGUGAAGCUGCAAACUUUCGCAGUGAGUGUUACGGCUCUUAAGGCAGCGUGUCUGGAGUUGUUCAUUCCUCCCUGUUGGUUUGUGGUCUCACUGGCCUCAGGAGUGAAGCUACAGACCUUCAUGGUGAGUGUUACAGCCAGUGCGGCCUCAAAGAGUGAGCAGCAGCAAGAUUUAUUGAAAAGAGCGAAAGAACAAAGCUUCCACAGCGUGGAAGGGGACCCGAGCGGGUUGUCGCUGCCAGCUGGGGCAGCCUGCUUUUAUUCCCUUAUCUGACCCCACCCACAUCCUGCUGACUGGCCCAUUUUACAGAGAGCUGAUUGGUCCAUUUUACAGAGAGCUUUUUGGUCCGUUUUGACAGGGUGCUGAUUGGUGCGUUUACAAUCCCUGAGCUAGACACAGAGUGCUGAUUGGUGUAUUUACAAUCCUCUAGCUAGAUGUAAAAGUUCUCCAAGUCCCCACUAGGUUAACUAGACACAGAGCACUGAUUGGUGCAUUUACAAACCUUGAGCUAGACACAGGGUGCUAAUUGGUGUGUUUACAAAUCUUGAGCUAGACACAGAGUGCUGAUUGGUGUAUUUACAAUCCUUUAGCUAGACAUAAAAGUUCUCCAAGUCUCCACCCAACUGAGGAGCCCAGCUGGCUUCACCUAGUGGAUCCUGCACCAAGGCAUCAGGUGGAUCUGCCCGCCAGUCCCGUACUGUGCACCCGCACUCCUCAGCACUUGGGCAGACGAUGGGACCGGGCACCAUGGAGCAGGGGGCGGCGCCCGCUGGGGAGGCUUGGGCCACGCAGGAGCCCAUGGAGGGGCAGGGCUCAGGCAUGGAAGGCUGCAGGUCCUGAGCCCUGCCCCGUGGGUAGGUGGCUGAGGCCCGGUGAGAAUUCAAGCAUGGCAUAGGUGGGCCAGCAGUGCUGGGGGACCCAGCACACCCUCUGCAGCUGCUGGCCCGGGUGCUAAGCCCCUCACUGCCUGGGGCUGGUGGUGCCAGCUGGCUGCUCUGAGUGUGGGGCCUGCUGAGCCCGCACCCACCCAGAAGUCACGCUGGCCCAUGAGUGCCACGCGCAACCCCGGUUCCCACCCAUGCCUCUCCUCCACACCUCCCUGUAGGCAGAGGGAACCGGCUCUGGCCUUGGCCAGCCCAGAGAGGGGCUCCCACAGUGCAGCAGCGGGCUGAAGGGCUCCUCAAGUGCGGCCAGAGUGGGCGCCAAGGCCGAGGAGGCACUGAGAGUGAGCGAGGGCUGCCAGCAUGCUGUCACCUCUCAAUACCAACAAUGAAUUAAUAAUAGUUGCUAAAAAUGAAGAAUUACAAGUGCUAUAAGACCAGGGCUUUGGUUUCAGUUGAUUAUAAAAAAAGAAAAAUGUAGAGAUAUUUUGCAUAAAGUGAAAUAUGUUUAAUUGAAGGAACUGAACUUAAUUCUAAAAUAAAGGUUUUUUCUGAUUUUUUUUUUCCUAGCCAAGUGCAGUAGUGAGAAGAGAGGAAAGAAUAGAGCAAGGAGUUGGAUCUGUAACUGGCUGAACAAUCAAUUGAGAUAACUCAUCAUCUUCAGAUCAGCCUUUUCCUGAUUUUUUUUAAGUGAAGAUAAUUCUUUACUUUAUGGAAAUAUGGUGAUAUAGAUGAUAAGGUGGGAAAUUCUGGGAUAUAUUUAGAUUCUCUGCUCUUAACUGGACAAGAACAUCUAAAUAUCUGAGACCCAAUGUUUUGAGAGCCAAAAAGGAGGACAUUGAAUAGCUGUGUAUAUUGAGCAUUUAAGAAGUCUUUAUAAAAGAGACAACUUUGAGCAUCUUGAUCUAUUUGAUGGCAGUAGUGGCCCAUCUGGAGUGGCAGCUGCAAGGACAUCAGCUGCAGCAGGGGAGGCACAGCCAGGGCUGCGCGAUCUGCAAAGAUGACAGGCGCUGGGAACAGGUGAUCCCAGUGGGAGCCCCACACCCUAUUUAGUUGGCAGAGACUGUGCUCCUGGGUGCAGCUGCAGCCACCCAGUCACAGCUCUGGAUCCAGUCAUCCCUGUACUCUCGGGGGCCUAGGAAGACCCCUGCACCCACAGGCUUGGAAGUGCCUGCUCCCACUCCCUGGCCUCUCCCUGCUCCCAGUGCUACUCUGCAGCAGAACAAAGUUGUGGACAUGUCCCGAUAGCUGAGCCCAGGCACUCUUGCUACCCAGCUGGGCAUGUGUGCACUUAGGGUGGUGCUGACAUACCAGUCUCCUGCUGGCUUGGCCUCCUCUGGAAACUGCUUCUGAGGCUAAAACAUUGGGUGCUGACGGUCAUGGGAGGGAGCCCAGGGGGCUGAGGGUGGCUUAGUAUGGGUUUGUGGGUGCCCCUCGGUGCAGACAUCCUGGACUCUGUGGAUGGCAUGUUGAUGGCAGUGGGAGGCAGACAGGUUCCUAGGCGGGAGGGGGCUGUUCCCCUGUGAAAUCCCACCUUCAAGCCAGGGACAGCCUGAAGCCUGGGCACUGGGCUUCCAGUUCCCAGUGGAGUCCACAACCUGGAGUGAGAACUUCCUUGAUGCCUUCUGUGACGAGAUGGUGCUUUUUCCAGGCCUGCCCAUGGCUGCCCAUGGACCAAUCAGCACAUACUUCCUCCCAUCCAUGGAUCAAUAAGCAUGACCUUCCUCUCUUUUGAGCCCAUAAAAACCCCUGGACUUAGUCAGACUCAGAUAUUCAUCAGCAAGACCUGCUUGCAGAUAGGAGCCACCCACUUCAGGUCUCCUCUCUGCUGAGAGGUGUUCUAUCAAUAAAGCUUUCUCCCUUGCUCACCUUCCAUUUGUCCACACAACCUCAUUCUUCCUGGACAUAGGACAAGAACUUGGGACCUGCUAAACACCAGGAAUGAAAGGAACUGUAACACAUUCCUGGCUGGCUCGCAGAGGUGCCAGUGGCAGCUAAAGGGGCUGUAAUAGGUUCCUGGAUGGCUUAUUGAGCUGCAGGCAGUGACACACUCCCAGACUGUGGGAGUGAAGGGUGGUGACUCUGCUGGGGGCCCAUACCUCAGGAUUCCCCCAAGCCAGAGCUGCUGUAACACUAUAGCUCUCUGGCCCUUUGCCAGCACUGGGCAGGCACCUCUUGCAACAAGAAGCAGUGGCAGGGCUUGGCCAGCCCAGGAGCUGCAGGCCUGGCUGAGGGCAGAAGGACUGAAAGAACUGUUACACAAACGGACUUAAAUACUCCUCCUGAAACAUGCCCUCCACCCUGCCUGCCACCCAGCUCGCUGCGCUGCAGGUGACAAGAAGGAAAGAAGAGCUGUAGCCCUUCUGAAACCCCAGACCUCAGGGCUCCCCAGGUCAGGGCUGUGACAUGUUGUAACAUCCUCUCUGGGGCUCUGUGGUUUGUGGCGUCUCCGAGCUUUCAAGUGCCAUUGCAUUCCUCUUGUCCAGAUGCUGGUGCCCACAGCAGAGGGUGCUUGCUCUAUGUCUGUUCCAGCUUCAGUCUUGCAUGUAGCUGGCACAUGUGCCAGUGCCUGGAGCUUCCCACCCCACCACAGCAGCCAGAAUGCCUGGCUGUGCACAGUGGCCGGCUUCCGCACCCACUCGCUUACACACUUCUUGCC
Molecule: long non-coding RNA, 6549 nt
Filed under: Homo sapiens (human)
Lineage: Eukaryota; Metazoa; Chordata; Mammalia; Primates; Hominidae
Description: HSALNT0040382
Source: RNAcentral